CGCACAUUGCGCCCUUUGGUAUUCCGGGGGGCAUGCCUGUUCGAGCGUCAUGAUCAAACAUCAAGCCCAGCUUGGUCUUGGGUGCCGUCCCUCCCCGGGGACGCACCCGGAAAUCAGCGGCGGUGCAGCCGGAACGCCAGCGUAGUAACUACUCCCGCUCGGUGGUCCCGGGUGCGUCGGCCGGACGACCUCUCCAUCAUCACGUUUGACCUCGGAUCAGGUAGGGAUACCCGCUGAACUUAA
This 243-nucleotide unclassified non-coding RNA is filed under the name Lecanoromycetes sp. RNAcentral's name for it is "partial contains 5.8S ribosomal RNA, internal transcribed spacer 2, and large subunit ribosomal RNA". The record is from RNAcentral. Lineage: Eukaryota; Fungi; Ascomycota; Lecanoromycetes.